RNAcentral lists this non-coding RNA (146 nucleotides) under Akkermansia muciniphila. The record is from RNAcentral. Lineage: Bacteria; Pseudomonadati; Verrucomicrobiota; Verrucomicrobiia; Verrucomicrobiales; Akkermansiaceae.
CUUAUGGGAAGGGUUACAGACCUCAGGGACGCCCGUAGCCGGGCAGGAAAUAAAUGGGGAAUACCGGUGUGAGUCCGGAGCGGUACCGCCACUGUAAGCGAGCCUGCCUCGCAAGCCAGAAAACCAGCCUGUGAGGUUGUCCAACU